CCCAGUACAUUGGCACUGUCUGGAAGUUCCCCUUAUGACUGUUUUUGGGUGCAUAUGGAAAAGGAUGGUAUUCAAAAGGAGUGGCUACUUCAUAGAUGCCUGUAUUGUCCUUUAGAGCACUGGGGCUUGGAUGGAUCUACUUUAGGGUGUGACUUUCUUGGAUCUUCCUUUCACCACAAGCUCUAUGUAUGUCAGAUGUGAGCUAAGGGUUAUCUUAGUACAUUAGCCUGAAUGAGAUGCGGUGGAACCAAGUUCCUCAGUGGAAUAGAACUGUAAGCAGAAAUGGGUGGGUGACCUUCAGUGAAACAGUUUGCAAAGUAAUGGAUGAAGUCUGAAUGCAGAAUCACGCGCAACCUCAUUGCCCUAUGGAUCAUCACAGUAUACAGGACGAUGUAGGCUGGCUCUCAUCUUUAAUGCUGAGGGUAUGACUCUAGACGCUAUGUUGUGUUGAAUGAAACUUUUCUAAUUGAACUGAUGUGUGGCUGGGGACUUUACCCAAUGCUGAUGUAAGAAUAUUACCUUACGUAAACUAUUGAAUAAGAGUACUCUAAGUCUUUUAAGCAUGUGAUACUAUGAGGUUCUUUGUGGGUUUGUGGUCAAUAUGGCUGGCCACCUAUCAUCUAACUAGACUGGAUGAUGUACUUGGGUUGGCUUCAUGUACCCAGUGCAAUACAUUCCAAGUAACCACAAACACAAACUAAUUACCCAACCUAUCUCACCAGACAUCUAUAUAAAUGGACUGCUUGGUGUUUUAUGCUAUGGCCAUCUUCUCGCCACAAGCUGAAGUUAUCUCUACUGAAUGGCAAGUACCUGCAUUAGCUAGCUAAUCAUACUGCAGCAGCACUAAAUGUAACCCAACAAGCUAUUGGACUGAUCAACAACCAAGAAUUAGAGUAUGAAAAAUUGUACUAGGGAAUUACAUUAGACAUAUUGACUGCUGUUCAAAG
This 947-nucleotide long non-coding RNA is filed under the name Phasianus colchicus (ring-necked pheasant). Its description in RNAcentral is "lncRNA (ENSPCLG00000004266.1)". The record is from RNAcentral. Lineage: Eukaryota; Metazoa; Chordata; Aves; Galliformes; Phasianidae.